RNAcentral lists this long non-coding RNA (1638 nucleotides) under Helianthus annuus (common sunflower). RNAcentral describes it as "hypothetical non coding rna". The record is from RNAcentral. Lineage: Eukaryota; Viridiplantae; Streptophyta; Magnoliopsida; Asterales; Asteraceae.
UUCAAGCAAACCCUAAACCUACUCCACCUCCACACACACCGCCGAUUACAUGGAGAGAGAACGAUGAGAGAGAUCAGAAAGGAGAGAGAGAACGGUGUGUGUCGGAACGGCGGCGUUGCCUAUCACUGGUGGUGUGGUGGUGACUAGAGAAAUUAUCAGUGUGUGGUGGUGCCGGAUUCACGGUGCGGUUCCGGUGGUGACGGAAUCAGGGUGCGGUUCCGGUGGUGAUUAGCGGCGUAGAGAAGAUGCUAGGGUUCCGGUGAAGGUCGGGCAAAAUUACGGUACCACGGGUGUCGGGAUCAACAUGAACAGACGACACCACGGGUGUCGGGAUCUCUGCCGGUGAGAGAUCUGAAAGUUUUAGGGUUCCGACGAGUCAGCUUAGCUCCGGUGAGAACCUGCUUUCCUGAACCAGGGAAGAUUGUUUUCGUUGUGUCAUUCAAUGGAUACUUCUUGCCAAGUUUUUAGGUAACUUUAACUUCCUUAUUUUCUUCUUGCUUUUAUUGAUUUGAAGAUUCCAUGCUUCUGAUCCUUAUUUUCUUCUUAGGUGUAUUGUUAGGCUAUAGGGUGUGGUCAUGACCCUUAUGACCAUCAUGACCCUCCAUGUUAGUGCCAUGUAACCCACCUCUAUUCCACCAUCCAAAACCACUAUCCUAAGGGUGUGGUCAUGACCCAAACCACUAGCCCCUUAUUUAUUUUAAUUUAUCUUUGUUUAAAGAGAAAAAAGGAAAUGAUUUGUUGAAAAAUGGAAAAGAGGGUCAUGGUUGCCAUGGUUUAAUCCAUGCAAACCAUGGUGGAUCAAUCAAGGGGGUGGUGUAGUCUUCUAUUUAUGUUCCUAGGUGGCAAAUCAUGUACCAACCAUGACCCCCACACCCUAUAGCCUUACAAUGGCACCUUGAUUUCCACAUAAAGUAAAAGAAUAAAGUAUCUAUAAUUUUUUUUCUAUAAUUCUUUUAAACGAUUUCAUGUGAAAUCUACAAAGAGUCUUGAAAAGUAACUGUGCUUCAAUCAAAAAUAUAUUAUAUUAGAAGGUUAUAUGUAUAUGCAAACCUAAGUAGUUGAUGAUAUUCGAGUAAAGCAUUAUUGUAUAAUGUGUUUAUAGUAAGAAAAGUCUUUGGUAGUUGAUCAUGAACUUUAGAAGAGUGUUGUUCUUUCAAUGUAACGAAAAAGUAUAUGGAUAUUGCAUAAGAUAGAAAAGAGCUUUUACUAGAGUUACAUGUCCUGAAAAGACAUUAAGGUAUGAUUUACACUUAUGAGGGGGUGAUUGUUGAUAAUCAUAUUGUUACCGAGCCGAUUACUUUACUAAAAUCGACAGAAGAGGAGGGAUGGUCAUCCGGCGGUAUGAUGGUGAGUUUGCGGGUUCCGGCGAGGCAGUGAUUGACCAAGAUAAUUUGAAAACUUUCUGUGGUCAUAAAGUAUAGAUGUGGAACUCCAGGAACUGCCAAGAAGAAAGGAAUAACAUGAUCAGGAACAUACAUUCAAGAACUGAAGUGUUCGUAGUAAUUAAGAUCGUCGUAGAGUAUUAUUGGCGACAUAUCAUGUGAUUACACCAAGAAUGAUUUGGUUUAGCAUGAUCGUGUUAUGAGUUGUGAUGUCAAACGUACACACCAAGAAUGAUUAAGUUUAGCAUCAUUGUGU